CUACUCUUGACAUCCGCGGAAUUGUGCAGAGAUGCGCAAGUGCCUUCGGGAACCGUGAGACAGGUGCUGCAUGGCUGUCGUCAGCUCGUGUUGUGAAAUGUUGGGUUAAGUCCCGCAACGAGCGCAACCCUUGUCCUUUGUUGCCAGCGCGUAGAGGCGGGAACUCAAAGGAGACUGCCGGUGAUAAACCGGAGGAAGGUGGGGACGACGUCAAGUCAUCAUGGCCCUUACGAGUAGGGCUACACACGUGCUACAAUGGCGUAUACAAAGGGAUGCGAACCUGCGAGGGAAAGCGGAACUCAGAAAGUACGUCGUAGUCCGGAUUAGAGUCUGCAACUCGACUCCAUGAAGUCGGAAUCGCUAGUAAUCGUAGAUCAGAAUGCUACGGUGAAUACGUUCCC
Molecule: ribosomal RNA, 401 nt
Filed under: Candidatus Williamhamiltonella defendens
Lineage: Bacteria; Pseudomonadati; Pseudomonadota; Gammaproteobacteria; Enterobacterales; Enterobacteriaceae
Description: bacterial SSU rRNA
Rfam family: Bacterial small subunit ribosomal RNA
Source: RNAcentral